Molecule: long non-coding RNA, 492 nt
Filed under: Anser brachyrhynchus (Pink-footed goose)
Lineage: Eukaryota; Metazoa; Chordata; Aves; Anseriformes; Anatidae
Description: lncRNA (ENSABRG00000016084.1)
Source: RNAcentral
GGGGUUUUGGGGUCGCCCCCUGACACCCCCCCUCGUUCCAGGCCCAGCCCGGCCCCUCCAAGCCGCAGACGGAGCCCCCCCCCCCGCAGCCGCCGGCGGAGGAGCAGAGCAAAGAGGCGAAGAAGGAGAGCGGCGGCAGCAGCAGCAGCAGCAGCCGGAAGAAGCGGAGCCGGAGCCGGAGCCGGAGCCGCGACCACAGACACAGCCGCAGCCGGGACCGGGACCGGCGCCGCCGCAGCCGCAGCCGCGACCGCCGCAGCCGCCACCGAUCCCGCAGCCGCGAGCGCCGCCGAUCCCGCAGCCGCGAGCGCCGGCGCGACGAGCGAUCCCGGUACCCGAUUUCCCCCUUUUUCGCCCCAAAAUGCCGGUUUUUUAACUACUCCCGUCCCUUUUUCACCGGUUUCUCCGCUUUCGGCCCCGUUUCAGCCGCCGCUUCGGGCACAGCAAGAGCCCGCUGUACCGGGAGAAGAGCCCCGUGCGGUGAGGGGGUCG